GACGAACGCUGGCGGCGUGCUUAACACAUGCAAGUCGAACGGAAAGGCCCUUCGGGGUACUCGAGUGGCGAACGGGUGAGUAACACGUGGGUGAUCUGCCCUGCACUUUGGGAUAAGCCUGGGAAACUGGGUCUAAUACCGAAUAGGACCACGCGCUUCAUGGUGUGUGGUGGAAAGCUUUUGCGGUGUGGGAUGGGCCCGCGGCCUAUCAGCUUGUUGGUGGGGUAAUGGCCUACCAAGGCGACGACGGGUAGCCGGCCUGAGAGGGUGACCGGCCACACGGGGACUGGGAUACGGCCCAGCUCCUUCCGGGGGGCGGCGGUGGGGAAAAUUGCACAAGGGGCGCAAGCCUGAGGCAGGGACGCCGCGGGGGGGAUGACGGCCUUCGGGUUGAAACCCUUUUUCAAUAGGGACGAAGCGAAAGUGACGGUACCAAUAGAAGAAGCCCCGGCCAACUCCGG
Molecule: ribosomal RNA, 461 nt
Filed under: uncultured bacterium
Lineage: Bacteria
Description: partial 16S ribosomal RNA
Rfam family: Bacterial small subunit ribosomal RNA
Source: RNAcentral